RNAcentral lists this ribosomal RNA (497 nucleotides) under uncultured bacterium. Its description in RNAcentral is "partial 16S ribosomal RNA". It matches the Rfam family "Bacterial small subunit ribosomal RNA", at positions 28 to 507 of the family's 1533-position model. The record is from RNAcentral.
GAUGAACGCUGGCGGCGUGCCUAAUACAUGCAAGUCGAGCGAACAGAUGAGGAGCUUGCUGCUCUGACGUUAGCGGCGGACGGGUGAGUAACACGUGUAUCCCCUCCCUAUCAGACUGGGAUAACUUCGGGACACCGGCGCUAAUACCGGAUGAUCUAUUGCACCGCAUGGUUCAAUAGUAAGAGACGGUUUUUCUGUCACUUCUAGAUGGAUCCGCGCCGCUUUAGCUAGUUGUUAAGGUAAAGGCUUACCAAGGGAACGAUGCGUGGCCGAACUCAGAGGGGGGUAGGCCGCACUGGAGCUGGGACGCCGUCCUUGCGCCUACGGGAGGCACCAGUAGGCAAUCGUCCGCAGUGGUCGAGAGCCUUACGGAGUAGGGGCGCGCGAGUGAUGAAGGUGUUCGGAGCGUAAUACCCUGUUAUGAGUUAAGAACAAAUGUGUAAGUAACUAUGCACGUCUUGACGGUACCGAAUCAGAAAGCCCCGGCUAACUACGUG